GGGCCGUAGUCUAGCAUGGUAGGACGCCAGCCUGGGGCGCUGGAGGGCCUGGGUUCAAGGCCAGAGCCCA
This 70-nucleotide transfer RNA is filed under the name Candidatus Caldarchaeum subterraneum. Its description in RNAcentral is "tRNA-Pro". It matches the Rfam family "tRNA". From Rfam's summary of the family: Transfer RNA (tRNA) molecules are approximately 80 nucleotides in length. Their secondary structure includes four short double-helical elements and three loops (D, anti-codon, and T loops). RNAcentral also lists the same sequence under 1 other name. Lineage: Archaea; Thermoproteati; Nitrososphaerota; Candidatus Caldarchaeales; Candidatus Caldarchaeaceae. The record is from RNAcentral.